This 710-nucleotide ribosomal RNA is filed under the name Brevundimonas nasdae. RNAcentral describes it as "bacterial SSU rRNA". It matches the Rfam family "Bacterial small subunit ribosomal RNA", at positions 89 to 835 of the family's 1533-position model. Lineage: Bacteria; Pseudomonadati; Pseudomonadota; Alphaproteobacteria; Caulobacterales; Caulobacteraceae. The record is from RNAcentral.
GAGUUAGUGGCGGACGGGUGAGUAACACGUGGGAACGUGCCUUUAGGUUCGGAAUAACUCAGGGAAACUUGUGCUAAUACCGAAUGUGCCCUUCGGGGGAAAGAUUUAUCGCCUUUAGAGCGGCCCGCGUCUGAUUAGCUAGUUGGUGAGGUAAAGGCUCACCAAGGCGACGAUCAGUAGCUGGUCUGAGAGGAUGAUCAGCCACAUUGGGACUGAGACACGGCCCAAACUCCUACGGGAGGCAGCAGUGGGGAAUCUUGCGCAAUGGGCGAAAGCCUGACGCAGCCAUGCCGCGUGAAUGAUGAAGGUCUUAGGAUUGUAAAAUUCUUUCACCGGGGACGAUAAUGACGGUACCCGGAGAAGAAGCCCCGGCUAACUUCGUGCCAGCAGCCGCGGUAAUACGAAGGGGGCUAGCGUUGCUCGGAAUUACUGGGCGUAAAGGGAGCGUAGGCGGACAUUUAAGUCAGGGGUGAAAUCCCGGGGCUCAACCUCGGAAUUGCCUUUGAUACUGGGUGUCUUGAGUAUGAGAGAGGUGUGUGGAACUCCGAGUGUAGAGGUGAAAUUCGUAGAUAUUCGGAAGAACACCAGUGGCGAAGGCGACACACUGGCUCAUUACUGACGCUGAGGCUCGAAAGCGUGGGGAGCAAACAGGAUUAGAUACCCUGGUAGUCCACGCCGUAACGAUGAUUGCUAGUUGUCGGGAUGCAUGC